Molecule: ribosomal RNA, 301 nt
Filed under: uncultured bacterium
Lineage: Bacteria
Description: partial 16S ribosomal RNA
Rfam family: Bacterial small subunit ribosomal RNA
Source: RNAcentral
CAGCAGCCGCGGGAAUACGGAGGGUGCAAGCGUUAAUCGGAAUUACUGGGCGUAAAGCGCACGCAGGCGGUCUGACAAGUCAGAUGUGAAAUCCCCGGGCUUAACCUGGGAACUGCAUUUGAAACUGUCAGGCUGGAGUCUUGUAGAGGGGGGUAGAAUUCCAGGUGUAGCGGUGAAAUGCGUAGAGAUCUGGAGGAAUACCGGUGGCGAAGGCGGCCCCCUGGACAAAGACUGACGCUCAGGUGCGAAAGCGUGGGGAGCAAACAGGAUUAGAUACCCGGGUAGUCCCUGUCUCUUAUAC